GGUUGUGGCUCAGUGGUAAAGCGCUUCCCUGGCAUGUGUGAGGCACUGGAUUCAAUCCUCAGCACCA
Molecule: transfer RNA, 67 nt
Filed under: Marmota monax (woodchuck)
Lineage: Eukaryota; Metazoa; Chordata; Mammalia; Rodentia; Sciuridae
Description: tRNA.Ala
Source: RNAcentral